This 254-nucleotide ribosomal RNA is filed under the name uncultured bacterium. RNAcentral describes it as "partial 16S ribosomal RNA". It matches the Rfam family "Bacterial small subunit ribosomal RNA", at positions 524 to 776 of the family's 1533-position model. The record is from RNAcentral.
UACGUAGGGGGCUAGCGUUGUCCGGAAUCAUUGGGCGUAAAGAGCGUGUAGGCGGCCCGGUAAGUCCGCUGUGAAAGUCGGGGGCUCAACCCUCGGAUGCCGGUGGAUACUGUCGGGCUCGAGUACGGAAGAGGCGAGUGGAAUUCCUGGUGUAGCGGGUGAAAUGCGCAGAUAUCAGGAGGAACACCAAUGGCGAAGGCAGCACUCUGGGACGGUACUGACGCUGAGACGCGAAAGCGUGGGGAGCAAACAGG